UACGGAGGGUGCGAGCGUUAAUCGGAAUUACUGGGCGUAAAGCGUGCGCAGGCGGUUUGUUAAGCGAGAUGUGAAAGCCCCGGGCUCAACCUGGGAACCGCAUUUCGAACUGGCAAACUAGAGUCUUGUAGAGGGGGGUAGAAUUCCAGGUGUAGCGGUGAAAUGCGUAGAGAUCUGGAGGAAUACCGGUGGCGAAGGCGGCCACCUGGUCAGAAACUGACGCUGAGACGCGAAAGCGUGGGGAGCAAACAGG
Molecule: ribosomal RNA, 253 nt
Filed under: uncultured microorganism
Description: partial 16S ribosomal RNA
Rfam family: Bacterial small subunit ribosomal RNA
Source: RNAcentral